GGAGAUAUAGCUCAGUCGGUUAGAGCGCAUGCCUCACAUGCAUGAGGUCGAGAGUUCGAGCCUCCCUAUCUCCA
This 74-nucleotide transfer RNA is filed under the name Clostridiales bacterium. RNAcentral describes it as "tRNA-Val". It matches the Rfam family "tRNA". Rfam says of the family: Transfer RNA (tRNA) molecules are approximately 80 nucleotides in length. Their secondary structure includes four short double-helical elements and three loops (D, anti-codon, and T loops). The record is from RNAcentral. Lineage: Bacteria; Bacillati; Bacillota; Clostridia; Eubacteriales.